RNAcentral lists this ribosomal RNA (862 nucleotides) under uncultured Porphyromonas sp. RNAcentral describes it as "bacterial SSU rRNA". It matches the Rfam family "Bacterial small subunit ribosomal RNA", at positions 509 to 1374 of the family's 1533-position model. The record is from RNAcentral. Lineage: Bacteria; Pseudomonadati; Bacteroidota; Bacteroidia; Bacteroidales; Porphyromonadaceae.
CAGCAGCCGCGGUAAUACGGAGGAUGCGAGCGCUAUCCGGAUUUAUUGGGUUUAAAGGGUGCGUAGGCGGCCUGUUAAGUCAGCGGUGAAAUCUAGGAGCUUAACUCCUAAAUUGCCAUUGAUACUGGCGGGCUUGAGUGUAGAUGAGGUAGGCGGAAUGCGUGGUGUAGCGGUGGAAUGCAUAGAUAUCACGCAGAACUCCGAUUGCGAAGGCAGCUUACUAAGGUACAACUGACGCUGAAGCACGAAAGCGUGGGUAUCAAACAGGAUUAGAUACCCUGGUAGUCCACGCAGUAAACGAUGAUAACUGGGCGUAUGCGAUAUACAGUAUGCUCCUAAGCGAAAGCGUUAAGUUAUCCACCUGGGGAGUACGCCGGCAACGGUGAAACUCAAAGGAAUUGACGGGGGCCCGCACAAGCGGAGGAACAUGUGGUUUAAUUCGAUGAUACGCGAGGAACCUUACCCGGGAUUGAAAUGUAGAUGACCGCCGGUGAAAGUCGGUUUUCCUUCGGGACAUCUAUGUAGGUGCUGCAUGGUUGUCGUCAGCUCGUGCCGUGAGGUGUCGGCUUAAGUGCCAUAACGAGCGCAACCCCUGUCUACGGUUGCCAUCAGGUAAUGCUGGGAACUCCGUAGAGACUGCCGUCGUAAGGCGUGAGGAAGGUGGGGAUGACGUCAAAUCAGCACGGCCCUUACAUCCGGGGCGACACAUGUGUUACAAUGGUAAGGAUAAAGGGCAGCUACCUGGCGACAGGAUGCGAAUCUCUAAACCUUAUCACAGUUCGGAUCGGAGUCUGCAACUCGACUCCGUGAAGCUGGAUUCGCUAGUAAUCGCGCAUCAGCCAUGGCGCGGUGAAUACGUUCC